RNAcentral lists this small RNA (221 nucleotides) under Citrobacter amalonaticus. Lineage: Bacteria; Pseudomonadati; Pseudomonadota; Gammaproteobacteria; Enterobacterales; Enterobacteriaceae. The record is from RNAcentral.
UACAGAUAAAAAGAGACCGAAUACGAUUCCUGUAUUCGGUCCAGGGAAAUGGCUCUUGGGAGAGAGCCGUGCGCUAAAAGUUGGCAUUAAUGCAGGCUAAGUCGCCUUGCCUUUUAAGAAUAGAUGACGACGCCAGGUUUUCCAGUCUGCGGCUUGCACGGCUGGAAAAAAACGGCGCUGAUCACUGGCUGAAAUGUAAAAACCGCAAGACGCUUUACAAA